This 253-nucleotide ribosomal RNA is filed under the name uncultured bacterium. RNAcentral's name for it is "partial 16S ribosomal RNA". It matches the Rfam family "Bacterial small subunit ribosomal RNA", at positions 524 to 776 of the family's 1533-position model. The record is from RNAcentral.
GACGUAGGGCGCGAGCGUUGUCCGGAUUUAUUGGGCGUAAAGAGCUCGUAGGCGGCUCAUUGCGUCAACCGUGAAAUCCUGCUGCUCAACGGCAGGUCUGCGGUUGAUACGGGUGGGCUGGAGUUCGGUAGGGGAGACUGGAAUUCCUGGUGUAGCGGUGAAAUGCGCAGAUAUCAGGAGGAACACCAACGGCGAAGGCAGCUCGCUGGGACGGUACUGACGCUAAGGCGCGAAAGCGUGGGGAGCGAACAGG